AGAUGGUCUAUAUGCUGGUCGUUCUUUGACGAGUGGCUUUCGGAGCUGACGCGUUAAUCCACCGCCUGGGGAGUACCGCCGCAAGGUUCUCCUCAGAUGAAUUGACGGGGGCCCGCACAAGCGGAGGAGCAUGUGGUUUAAUUCGAUGCAACGCGAAGAAUCUUACCUACUCUUGACAUCCAGAGAAGUUAACAGAGAUGCUUUUCUGCCUUCGGGAACUCUGUGCAGGUGCUGCGUGGCUGUCGUCUGCUCGUGUUGUGAAAUGUUGGGUUAAGUCCCGCAACGAGCGCAACCCUUAUCCUUUGUUGCCUACGAUUCGGUCGGGAACUCAAAGGAGACUGCCGGUGAUAAACCAGAGGAAGGUGGGGAUGACGUCAAGUCAUCAUGGCCCUUACGAGUAGGGCUACACACGUGCUACAAUGGCGUAUACAAAGAGAAGCGACCUCGCGAGAGCAAGCGGAACUCAUGGUCUACGUUCUAAUCCGGAUUGGAGUCUGCACCUCGACUCCAUGAAAUCGGAAUCGCUAGUAAUCGUAGAUCAAAAUGCUACAGUGAAUACCUUCCCUGGUCUUGUACACACCGCCCGUCACGCCAUGCGAGUGUGUUGCAAAACAAGUACGUAGCUGAACCUUCGGGAGGGCGCUUACCACUUUGUGAUUCAUGAUGGGGGGGAGUCAACAGGGGGACAAAA
RNAcentral lists this ribosomal RNA (691 nucleotides) under Providencia vermicola. RNAcentral describes it as "bacterial SSU rRNA". It matches the Rfam family "Bacterial small subunit ribosomal RNA", at positions 807 to 1504 of the family's 1533-position model. Lineage: Bacteria; Pseudomonadati; Pseudomonadota; Gammaproteobacteria; Enterobacterales; Morganellaceae. The record is from RNAcentral.